This 468-nucleotide ribosomal RNA is filed under the name uncultured bacterium. Its description in RNAcentral is "partial 16S ribosomal RNA". It matches the Rfam family "Bacterial small subunit ribosomal RNA", at positions 28 to 507 of the family's 1533-position model. The record is from RNAcentral.
GACGAACGCUGGCGGCGUGCUUAACACAUGCAAGUCGAACGGAAAGGCCCUGCUUUUGUGGGGUGCUCGAGUGGCGAACGGGUGAGUAACACGUGAGUAACCUGCACUUGACUUUGGGAUAACUUCAGGAAACUGGGGCUAAUACCGGAUAGGAGCUCCUGCGGCAUGGUGGGGGUUGGCAAGUUUAGGCGGUUGGGGAUGGGAUCGCGGCUUAUCAGGUUGUUGGGAGGGUAGUGUCUUACCAAGGCUUGGGCGGGUUGCGGGCCUGGGAGGGUGACCGGCCACAUUGGAACUGAGAUACGGCCCAGACUCAUACGGGAGGCAGCAGUGGGGAAGAUUGCACAAUGGGCGGAAGCCUGAUGCAGCAACGCCGCGUGCGGGAUGACGGCCUUCGGGUUGUAAUCCGCUUUCGCCUGUGACGAAGCGUGAGUGACGGUAAUGGGUAAAGAAGCACCGGCUAACUACGUG